CAGCAACAGCAGGGCCAAGGUCUUGUGACAAUGUCUGGAGGUGCCCCUAUUGUCACACUGGGGGUCUCCUACUGGCCUGCAAUGGGAGGAGGGGCUGCAGCCCCACAUCCUGUGCAGAGUGCUAGUGCUGAGGCGGAACCCUCCUCAGAGCUGCCCCUUCUCCUCCAGGUUGUUACCCCUUCUACAAAACUGACCCGUUCAUCUUCCCAGAGUGCCCGCAUGUCUACUUUUGUGGCAACACCCCCAGCUUUGGCUCCAAAAUCAUCCGAGGUCCUGAGGACCAGACAGUGCUGUUGGUGACUGUCCCUGACUUCAGUGCCACGCAGACCGCCUGCCUUGUGAACCUGCGCAGCCUGGCCUGCCAGCCCAUCAGCUUCUCGGGCUUCGGGGCAGAGGACGAUGACCUGGGAGGCCUGGGGCUGGGCCCCUGACUCAAAAAAGUGGUUUUGACCAGAGAGGCCCAGAUGGAGGCUGUUCAUUCCCUGCAGUGUCGGCAUUGUAAAUAAAGCCUGAGCACUUGCUGAUGCG
Molecule: long non-coding RNA, 528 nt
Filed under: Homo sapiens (human)
Lineage: Eukaryota; Metazoa; Chordata; Mammalia; Primates; Hominidae
Description: non-protein coding lnc-MYL7-3:1
Source: RNAcentral